UCUAAAAUGGCAGAUUUAUGCAUUGGAUUUAAACCCCAAGUAAAAAGAUUUUUAAUCUUUUUUUAGAA
This 68-nucleotide transfer RNA is filed under the name Molanna angustata. RNAcentral's name for it is "tRNA-Leu". Lineage: Eukaryota; Metazoa; Arthropoda; Insecta; Trichoptera; Molannidae. The record is from RNAcentral.